CCCACCGCCGAGCGGUUAUGGCGUGUGACUCAAGAAUUUUCAUUCUUACCUGUGUUAACAGGCGCAUUCUCAUGGGGCAACCCGCGUGGGUUCGAAUCCCACCGCUGACA
This is a non-coding RNA of Paraphoma chrysanthemicola, 110 nucleotides long. Lineage: Eukaryota; Fungi; Ascomycota; Dothideomycetes; Pleosporales; Phaeosphaeriaceae. The record is from the annotation of a GenBank genome assembly.